CGUGGCCUGGUGGUUAUGACACCAGGCUAAUGACCCGGGGGUCGUGGGUUCGAGCCCG
This 58-nucleotide transfer RNA is filed under the name Oxyrrhis marina. The record is from RNAcentral. Lineage: Eukaryota; Dinophyceae; Oxyrrhinales; Oxyrrhinaceae.